GACGAACGCUGGCGGCGUGCUUAACACAUGCGAGUCGAACGGAAAGGCCCCUUUGGGGGUACUCGAGUGGCGAACGGGUGAGUAACACGUGAGUAACCUGCCCUUGACUUCGGGAUAACUUCAGGAAACUGGGGCUAAUACCGGAUAGGAAUCCUUGCUGCAUGGUGGGGGUUGGAAAGCUUCGGCGGUUUUGGAUGGACUCGCGGCUUAUCAGCUUGUUGGUGGGGUAGUGGCUUACCAAGGCUUUGACGGGUAGCCGGCCUGAGAGGGCGACCGGCCACAUUGGGACUGAGAUACGGCCCAGACUCCUACGGGAGGCAGCAGUGGGGAAUAUUGCACAAUGGGCGGAAGCCGGAUGCAGCAACGCCGCGUGCGGGAUGACGGCCUUCGGGUUGUAAACCGCUUUCAGCAGGGGCGAAGCUUGUGGUGACGGUACCUGCAGAAGAAGCACCGGCUAACUACGUG
This 465-nucleotide ribosomal RNA is filed under the name uncultured bacterium. RNAcentral's name for it is "partial 16S ribosomal RNA". It matches the Rfam family "Bacterial small subunit ribosomal RNA", at positions 28 to 507 of the family's 1533-position model. The record is from RNAcentral.